This 482-nucleotide ribosomal RNA is filed under the name uncultured bacterium. Its description in RNAcentral is "bacterial SSU rRNA". It matches the Rfam family "Bacterial small subunit ribosomal RNA", at positions 30 to 507 of the family's 1533-position model. The record is from RNAcentral.
AUUGAACGCUGGCGGCAUGCCUUACACAUGCAAGUCGAACGGCAGCACGGGAGCAAUCCUGGUGGCGAGUGGCGAACGGGUGAGUAAUAUAUCGGAACGUGCCCAGACGUGGGGGAUAACGUAGCGAAAGCUACGCUAAUACCGCAUGAGAUCUGAGGAUGAAAGCGGGGGCUCGCAAGACCUCGCGCGUUUGGAGCGGCCGAUAUCAGAUUAGGUAGUUGGUGGGGUAAAGGCUUACCAAGCCUGCGAUCUGUAGCUGGUCUGAGAGGACGACCAGCCACACUGGAACUGAGACACGGUCCAGACUCCUACGGGAGGCAGCAGUGGGGAAUUUUGGACAAUGGGCGCAAGCCUGAUCCAGCAAUGCCGCGUGCAGGAUGAAGGCCUUCGGUUGUAAACUGCUUUGUACGGAACGAAAGGACUUCUCUAAUACGGAGAGCUGAUGACGGUACCGUAAGAAUAAGACACCGGCUAACUACGUG